This 74-nucleotide ribosomal RNA is filed under the name Staphylococcus aureus. Its description in RNAcentral is "partial 16S ribosomal RNA". It matches the Rfam family "Bacterial small subunit ribosomal RNA", at positions 1 to 74 of the family's 1533-position model. Lineage: Bacteria; Bacillati; Bacillota; Bacilli; Caryophanales; Staphylococcaceae. The record is from RNAcentral. RNAcentral also lists the same sequence under 4 other names.
UUUAUGGAGAGUUUGAUCCUGGCUCAGGAUGAACGCUGGCGGCGUGCCUAAUACAUGCAAGUCGAGCGAACGGA